RNAcentral lists this ribosomal RNA (371 nucleotides) under Ascobulla sp. DTLT2001. RNAcentral describes it as "eukaryotic LSU rRNA". The record is from RNAcentral. Lineage: Eukaryota; Metazoa; Mollusca; Gastropoda; Volvatellidae.
CCGCCAGCCAGUCAGUCAUGAGAAAGCGGUCGGCGAGCACGAGGUUCGCUCGGUCCUCACCAGUCGAACUCUCCCAGAAGGCCGGGAGGCCUCGAAAGCGUACGGUCGUUCCUCGGCCCCGAGAGCAGCCAGCCAGGAGAAGGCGAAGCACCGGUCAAGCCCGGUAAAAGGCUCAACCUACCAUCCCUCUCCGGCGUCUGACCGCCCCGAAGCCGGUCGUGGCCAACUGCCCGCGGAAAGUGCACAACGGCGGAGCCCAGCGCGACGCCCCGGCCGAGUCCACGAGCGGAUCUCGAGCCAAAGCAGCCCCGGGCCGCGCGCCGCGUUGAAUUCCGCGGGCCGAAAAGAUUGCGGAUCCACCCGUNNACCUC